UUUAUGGAGAGUUUGAUCCUGGCUCAGGAUGAACGCUGGCGGCGUGCCUAAUACAUGCAAGUCGAGCGAACGGACGAGAAGCUUGCUUCUCUGAUGUUAGCGGCGGACGGGUGAGUAACACGUGGAUAACCUACCUAUAAGACUGGGAUAACUUCGGGAAACCGGAGCUAAUACCGGAUAAUAUUUUGAACCGCAUGGUUCAAAAGUGAAAGACGGUCUUGCUGUCACUUAUAGAUGGAUCC
Molecule: ribosomal RNA, 242 nt
Filed under: Staphylococcus aureus
Lineage: Bacteria; Bacillati; Bacillota; Bacilli; Caryophanales; Staphylococcaceae
Description: partial 16S ribosomal RNA
Rfam family: Bacterial small subunit ribosomal RNA
Source: RNAcentral